RNAcentral lists this ribosomal RNA (648 nucleotides) under uncultured bacterium. RNAcentral describes it as "bacterial SSU rRNA". It matches the Rfam family "Bacterial small subunit ribosomal RNA", at positions 143 to 807 of the family's 1533-position model. The record is from RNAcentral.
AUAACACACCGAAAGGUGUACUAAUACCGCAUAAGACCACGGGAUCACAUGGUUCUGAGGUAAAAGAUUUAUCGGUUUGGGGUGGGCUCGCGUCCGAUUAGGUAGUUGGUGAGGUAACGGCCCACCAAGCCGACGAUCGGUAGCCGACCUGAGAGGGUGAUCGGCCACAUUGGGACUGAGACACGGCCCAAACUCCUACGGGAGGCAGCAGUGGGGAAUAUUGGGCAAUGGAGGAAACUCUGACCCAGCAACGCCGCGUGGAGGAAGAAGGUUUUCGGAUCGUAAACUCCUGUCCUUGGAGACGAGUAGAAGACGGUAUCCAAGGAGGAAGCCCCGGCUAACUACGUGCCAGCAGCCGCGGUAAUACGUAGGGGGCAAGCGUUGUCCGGAAUAAUUGGGCGUAAAGGGCGCGUAGGCGGCUCGGUAAGUCUGGAGUGAAAGUCCUGCUUUUAAGGUGGGAAUUGCUUUGGAUACUGUCGGGCUUGAGUGCAGGAGAGGUUAGUGGAAUUCCCAGUGUAGCGGUGAAAUGCGUAGAGAUUGGGAGGAACACCAGUGGCGAAGGCGACUAACUGGACUGUAACUGACGCUGAGGCGCGAAAGUGUGGGGAGCAAACAGGAUUAGAUACCCUGGUAGUCCACACUGUAAAC